AGCAGCCGCGGUAAUUCCAGCUCCAAUAGCGUAUAUUAAAGUUGCUGCAGUUAAAAAGCUCGUAGUUGAAUUUCGGGACCAUCAUGUCGGUCGUGCCUCGGUACGUACUGGCAUUGUUGGUUUCUCCCUUCUGACGAACCAUGAUGUCAUUUAUUUGGUGUUGUGGGAAAUCAGGACUGUUACUUUGAAAAAAUUAGAGUGUUUAAAGCAGGCUCACGCUUGAAUACAUUAGCAUGGAAUAAUGAAAUAGGACGUUUGAUUCUAUUUUGUUGGUUUCUAGGAUCGACGUAAUGAUUAAUAGGGAUAGUUGGGGGCAUUAGUAUUCAAUUGUCAGAGGUGAAAUUCUUGGAUUUAUUGAAGACUAACUACUGCGAAAGCAUUUGCCAAGGAUGUUUUCAUUAAUCAAGAACGAAAGUUAGGGGAUCGAAGACGAUCAGAUACCGUCGUAGUCUUAACCAUAAACUAUGCCGACUAGGGAUCGGAUGAUGUUAAUUUUUUAAUGACUCAUUCGGCGCCUUAA
Molecule: ribosomal RNA, 520 nt
Filed under: uncultured Glomus
Lineage: Eukaryota; Fungi; Glomeromycota; Glomeromycetes; Glomerales; Glomeraceae
Description: SSU rRNA
Rfam family: Eukaryotic small subunit ribosomal RNA
Source: RNAcentral